Molecule: ribosomal RNA, 492 nt
Filed under: uncultured bacterium
Lineage: Bacteria
Description: partial 16S ribosomal RNA
Rfam family: Bacterial small subunit ribosomal RNA
Source: RNAcentral
AGUGAACGCUGGCGGUAGGCCCAACACAUGCAAGUCGAACGGCAGCACAGUAAGAGCUUGCUCUUACGGGUGGCGAGUGGCGGACGGGUGAGGAAUACAUCGGAAUCUACUUUUUCGUGGGGGAUAACGUAGGGAAACUUACGCUAAUACCGCAUACGACCUACGGGUGAAAGCAGGGGAUCUUCGGGCCUUGUGCGAUUGAAUGAGCCGAUGUCGGAUUAGCUAGUUGGCGGGGUAAAGGCCCACCAAGGCGACGAUCCGUAGCUGGUCUGAGGGGAUGAUCAGCCACACUGGAACUGAGACACGGUCCAGACUCCUACGGGAGGCAGCAGUGGGGAAUAUUGGACAAAGGGCGCAAGCCUGAUCCAGCCAUACCGCGUGGGUGAAGAAGGCCUUCGGGUUGUAAAGCCCUUUUGUUGGGAAAGAAAAGCAGCAGGUUAAUACCCCGCUGUUCUGACGGUACCCAAAGAAUAAGCACCGGCUAACUUCGUG